GGGUUGUGAGGUUAAGCGACUAAGCGUACACGGUGGAUGCCCUGGCAGUCAGAGGCGAUGAAGGACGUGCUAAUCUGCGAUAAGCGUCGGUAAGGUGAUAUGAACCGUUAUAACCGGCGAUUUCCGAAUGGGGAAACCCAGUGUGUUUCGACACACUAUCAUUAACUGAAUCCAUAGGUUAAUGAGGCGAACCGGGGGAACUGAAACAUCUAAGUACCCCGAGGAAAAGAAAUCAACCGAGAUUCCCCCAGUAGCGGCGAGCGAACGGGGAGCAGCCCAGAGCCUGAAUCAGUGUGUGUGUUAGUGGAAGCGUCUGGAAAGGCGCGCGAUACAGGGUGACAGCCCCGUACACAAAAAUGCACAUGCUGUGAGCUCGAUGAGUAGGGCGGGACACGUGGUAUCCUGUCUGAAUAUGGGGGGACCAUCCUCCAAGGCUAAAUACUCCUGACUGACCGAUAGUGAACCAGUACCGUGAGGGAAAGGCGAAAAGAACCCCGGCGAGGGGAGUGAAAAAGAACCUGAAACCGUGUACGUACAAGCAGUGGGAGCACGCUUAGGCGUGUGACUGCGUACCUUUUGUAUAAUGGGUCAGCGACUUAUAUUCUGUAGCAAGGUUAACCGAAUAGGGGAGCCGAAGGGAAACCGAGUCUUAACUGGGCGUUAAGUUGCAGGGUAUAGACCCGAAACCCGGUGAUCUAGCCAUGGGCAGGUUGAAGGUUGGGUAACACUAACUGGAGGACCGAACCGACUAAUGUUGAAAAAUUAGCGGAUGACUUGUGGCUGGGGGUGAAAGGCCAAUCAAACCGGGAGAUAGCUGGUUCUCCCCGAAAGCUAUUUAGGUAGCGCCUCGUGAAUUCAUCUCCGGGGGUAGAGCACUGUUUCGGCAAGGGGGUCAUCCCGACUUACCAACCCGAUGCAAACUGCGAAUACCGGAGAAUGUUAUCACGGGAGACACACGGCGGGUGCUAACGUCCGUCGUGAAGAGGGAAACAACCCAGACCGCCAGCUAAGGUCCCAAAGUCAUGGUUAAGUGGGAAACGAUGUGGGAAGGCCCAGACAGCCAGGAUGUUGGCUUAGAAGCAGCCAUCAUUUAAAGAAAGCGUAAUAGCUCACUGGUCGAGUCGGCCUGCGCGGAAGAUGUAACGGGGCUAAACCAUGCACCGAAGCUGCGGCAGCGACGCUUAUGCGUUGUUGGGUAGGGGAGCGUUCUGUAAGCCUGUGAAGGUGUGCUGUGAGGCAUGCUGGAGGUAUCAGAAGUGCGAAUGCUGACAUAAGUAACGAUAAAGCGGGUGAAAAGCCCGCUCGCCGGAAGACCAAGGGUUCCUGUCCAACGUUAAUCGGGGCAGGGUGAGUCGACCCCUAAGGCGAGGCCGAAAGGCGUAGUCGAUGGGAAACAGGUUAAUAUUCCUGUACUUGGUGUUACUGCGAAGGGGGGACGGAGAAGGCUAUGUUGGCCGGGCGACGGUUGUCCCGGUUUAAGCGUGUAGGCUGGUUUUCCAGGCAAAUCCGGAAAAUCAAGGCUGAGGCGUGAUGACGAGGCACUACGGUGCUGAAGCAACAAAUGCCCUGCUUCCAGGAAAAGCCUCUAAGCAUCAGGUAACAUCAAAUCGUACCCCAAACCGACACAGGUGGUCAGGUAGAGAAUACCAAGGCGCUUGAGAGAACUCGGGUGAAGGAACUAGGCAAAAUGGUGCCGUAACUUCGGGAGAAGGCACGCUGAUAUGUAGGUGAAGCGACUUGCUCGUGGAGCUGAAAUCAGUCGAAGAUACCAGCUGGCUGCAACUGUUUAUUAAAAACACAGCACUGUGCAAACACGAAAGUGGACGUAUACGGUGUGACGCCUGCCCGGUGCCGGAAGGUUAAUUGAUGGGGUUAGCGGUAACGCGAAGCUCUUGAUCGAAGCCCCGGUAAACGGCGGCCGUAACUAUAACGGUCCUAAGGUAGCGAAAUUCCUUGUCGGGUAAGUUCCGACCUGCACGAAUGGCGUAAUGAUGGCCAGGCUGUCUCCACCCGAGACUCAGUGAAAUUGAACUCGCUGUGAAGAUGCAGUGUACCCGCGGCAAGACGGAAAGACCCCGUGAACCUUUACUAUAGCUUGACACUGAACAUUGAGCCUUGAUGUGUAGGAUAGGUGGGAGGCUUUGAAGUGUGGACGCCAGUCUGCAUGGAGCCGACCUUGAAAUACCACCCUUUAAUGUUUGAUGUUCUAACGUUGACCCGUAAUCCGGGUUGCGGACAGUGUCUGGUGGGUAGUUUGACUGGGGCGGUCUCCUCCUAAAGAGUAACGGAGGAGCACGAAGGUUGGCUAAUCCUGGUCGGACAUCAGGAGGUUAGUGCAAUGGCAUAAGCCAGCUUGACUGCGAGCGUGACGGCGCGAGCAGGUGCGAAAGCAGGUCAUAGUGAUCCGGUGGUUCUGAAUGGAAGGGCCAUCGCUCAACGGAUAAAAGGUACUCCGGGGAUAACAGGCUGAUACCGCCCAAGAGUUCAUAUCGACGGCGGUGUUUGGCACCUCGAUGUCGGCUCAUCACAUCCUGGGGCUGAAGUAGGUCCCAAGGGUAUGGCUGUUCGCCAUUUAAAGUGGUACGCGAGCUGGGUUUAGAACGUCGUGAGACAGUUCGGUCCCUAUCUGCCGUGGGCGCUGGAGAACUGAGGGGGGCUGCUCCUAGUACGAGAGGACCGGAGUGGACGCAUCACUGGUGUUCGGGUUGUCAUGCCAAUGGCACUGCCCGGUAGCUAAAUGCGGAAGAGAUAAGUGCUGAAAGCAUCUAAGCACGAAACUUGCCCCGAGAUGAGUUCUCCCUGACUCCUUGAGAGUCCUGAAGGAACGUUGAAGACGACGACGUUGAUAGGCCGGGUGUGUAAGCGCAGCGAUGCGUUGAGCUAACCGGUACUAAUGAACCGUGAGGCUUAACCUUACAACGCCGAAG
RNAcentral lists this ribosomal RNA (2927 nucleotides) under Escherichia coli. Its description in RNAcentral is "23S ribosomal RNA". It matches the Rfam family "Bacterial large subunit ribosomal RNA". Lineage: Bacteria; Pseudomonadati; Pseudomonadota; Gammaproteobacteria; Enterobacterales; Enterobacteriaceae. The record is from RNAcentral.